Molecule: ribosomal RNA, 424 nt
Filed under: Chironius multiventris
Lineage: Eukaryota; Metazoa; Chordata; Lepidosauria; Squamata; Colubridae
Description: partial 16S ribosomal RNA
Rfam family: Bacterial large subunit ribosomal RNA
Source: RNAcentral
CCCAGUGAACAAUUAAACGGCCGCGGUACCCUAACCGUGCAAAGGUAGCAUAAUCAUUUGUCUACUAAUUAUAGACCUGCAUGAAAGGCAAAAUGAGGGUCUAACUGUCUCUUAUAAUGAAUCAAUUAAACUGAUCUCCUAGUAAAAAAGCUAGAAUAUCCACAUAAGACCAGAAGACCCUGUGAAGCUUAAACUAAACUAUUAAACCAUAUAAUAACCACUUUCGGUUGGGGCGACCUUGGAAAAAAAAAGAACUUCCAAAAAACUAUGACUACCCAUAUCUACCCAGGCCAACAAGCCAAUAAACGACCCAGCACAGCUGAUCACCGAACCAAGUUACUCCAGGGAUAACAGCGCAAUCCUCUUCAAGAGCCCAUAUCAAAAAGAGGGUUUACGACCUCGAUGUUGGAUCAGGACAUCCUAA